GAAAUGGUGGGUAAUACUGUAUAAUCCCUGCGGGGGAAAGAUUUAUCGCUAUUAGAUGAGCCUAUGUUAGAUUAGCUAGUUGGUAGGGUAAAGGCCUACCAAGGCAGUGAUCUAUAGCUGGUCUGAGAGGAUGAUCAGCCACACUGGAACUGAGAUACGGUCCAGACUCCUACGGGAGGCAGCAGUGGGGAAUAUUGGACAAUGGGCGCAAGCCUGAUCCAGCUAUGCCGCGUGAGUGAGGAAGGCCUUAGGGUUGUAAAACUCUUUCAGUGGGGAAGAUAAUGACGGUACCCACAGAAGAAGUCCCGGCAAACUCCGUGCCAGCAGCCGCGGUAAUACGGAGGGGGCAAGCGUUGUUCGGAAUUAUUGGGCGUAAAGGGCAUGUAGGCGGUUCGGUAAGUUAAAGGUGAAAUGCCAGGGCU
RNAcentral lists this ribosomal RNA (422 nucleotides) under uncultured Anaplasma sp. RNAcentral describes it as "bacterial SSU rRNA". It matches the Rfam family "Bacterial small subunit ribosomal RNA", at positions 153 to 609 of the family's 1533-position model. Lineage: Bacteria; Pseudomonadati; Pseudomonadota; Alphaproteobacteria; Rickettsiales; Anaplasmataceae. The record is from RNAcentral.